Molecule: long non-coding RNA, 277 nt
Filed under: Nicotiana benthamiana
Lineage: Eukaryota; Viridiplantae; Streptophyta; Magnoliopsida; Solanales; Solanaceae
Description: long non-coding RNA (NBEN_LNC014481)
Source: RNAcentral
UUUCAUGUUCCACCUUUAAGGGAACGACAUCCUCUUUACCGGAAUCAGGUCUGAUGCCUUACUCGGCGAAAAUGGCAAAUCCACCCUCCGUUCCUGACCUCAUUGGUACAAUGAAAGAAGGCUCUCAAGGCCCGAUAGUGGAGCUUAUAAUGGCCCCCACGGAGGAGUCGGGGACGAUACAUUCUGAUAAGGUGGUCGAGGGUGAAGAGCAUCCCCUUAAUCAUGUCUGUAAAAUUUAGACAUGUAAAUAAAGCACCAGAAUGAAGGAUGAAUUUGG